RNAcentral lists this ribosomal RNA (331 nucleotides) under uncultured Actinomycetes bacterium. Its description in RNAcentral is "bacterial SSU rRNA". It matches the Rfam family "Bacterial small subunit ribosomal RNA", at positions 28 to 351 of the family's 1533-position model. Lineage: Bacteria; Bacillati; Actinomycetota; Actinomycetes. The record is from RNAcentral.
GACGAACGCUGGCGGCGUGCCUAAUGCAUGCAAGUCGAGCGACGCACGAGUGCGGGUAACCAAACUCGUGACGGAGCGGCGAACGGGUGAGUAACACGUGAGCAACCUGCCCCGAAGACCGGGAUAGCCCGGGGAAACCCGGAUUAAUACCGGAUAUCCUCUCAGGACCGCAUGAUCCUCCGAGGAAAUGGAUUCCGCUUCGGGAUGGGCUCGCGACCUAUCAGCUUGUUGGUGAGGUAACGGCUCACCAAGGCGUCGACGGGUAGCUGGUCUGAGAGGACGACCAGCCACACUGGGACUGAGACACGGCCCAGACUCCUACGGGAGGCAG